GGUUGACCUCGGAUCAGGUAGGAGUUACCCGCUGAACUUAAGCAUAUCAAUAAGCGGAGGAAAAGAAACCAACAGGGAUUGCCUCAGUAACGGCGAGUGAAGCGGCAAGAGCUCAAAUUUGAAAUCUGGCCCCUUGGGGUCCGAGUUGUAAUUUGCAGAGGAUGCUUCGGGAGCGGUCCCCAUCUAAGUGCCCUGGAACGGGACGUCAUAGAGGGUGAG
This 219-nucleotide ribosomal RNA is filed under the name Talaromyces dendriticus. RNAcentral's name for it is "partial 28S ribosomal RNA". It matches the Rfam family "Eukaryotic large subunit ribosomal RNA", at positions 1 to 216 of the family's 3401-position model. The record is from RNAcentral. Lineage: Eukaryota; Fungi; Ascomycota; Eurotiomycetes; Eurotiales; Trichocomaceae.